Hippopotamus amphibius kiboko is the source of this 2394-nucleotide long non-coding RNA. RefSeq lists it as uncharacterized. The transcript is spliced from 3 exons. NCBI's taxonomy places the organism in Eukaryota, Metazoa, Chordata, Mammalia, Artiodactyla, Hippopotamidae. The record is from RefSeq and is a predicted model, not a curated record.
CAGCAGCCGAGCAGCGAGAGCAGCAGGCCGAGGAGCAGCGCGAGCAGCGCGCCCGCGCCCAUCACGCCCUUGCGCUGAUGCCUUGCGCUUGAUGGCAAGUUCAGGUGUUGAGGAGGCUGAGUGCGGUGGAGUGGACGCUCAUCCGUCUGCCCAGCCUGUGCCAGGGUGUGCCUUGCACGGAACCAUGCGGUGCGCCCCCUCCGAGACGGGCCGUCCCCGCGGAUGUGUGGAUGCAGAGUUCCCCUCCAAGUCCCAGUGAUGCUCUGUGCUGUGUACCUGCCUGUUUGGUGAGCCUGUCACCCGUGGAGGGACAUCUGACUGGUCUCCGGUUUCUGGCUGUUACCCGUAAAUCUGCUGUAAGCAUCUGUGUCCAGGGAAGCUUUUGUUUCUCUGGGGUUCGUGCCCAGGAGGGUGACCGCUGGGGCCAAGGGCAGCUGGACGUUAACGGCCCUGGUGCUGUGACGUUUGUUGUCUCUGCCACUCGACAGGCGGGCGCCUCGCCGUGGUGUCUCGUCUGCACCCCCGGCGGCCGGUGACGCCUCACGUCCACAUCUGCCCCACGGAGGCGUCGCCUCCUCGUCUGCCUUCUUUCCCCUGGGUCCCUCGGCCUGUGUCUCCUGGUGCAUCUGAGGGUUCUUUACGCAUAUUAGAGUCUAGUCCUCUGCCAGGCACUGGUUUGCAAACAUCCUCUCCCGCGCGGCAGCCGCCUCUCCUCCUCGUAACAGGGCCUCCUGCAGAGCACAGGCCUGCAGCUUUGAUGAAGCCCAGUCCAUAAUUUUUUCUCUUUACGGCACAUGCUCUGGGGGUCAAGUCCAAGUACUCAUUGCCUAGCUCCAGACCCUGAGUAUUUUCUCUUACUUUUCCUCUAAAUGCUAUGCCUAUUUUACGUAAGUCCGUACAGCAUUCUGAGUCAAUUUUUGUAUAAGGUGUGAGACGGGUUGAUGUCCAUUUUCCUACCUACAGACGUCCAGUUGCUCCAAGUACCAUUUGUUGAAAGGUAAUUUGGGACUUCCCUGGUGGCGCAGUGGUUAGGAGUCCGCCUGCCAAUGCAGGGGACAGGGGUUCAAUCCCUGGUCCGGGAAGAUCCCACGUGCCGCAGAGCAACUAAGCCCGUGCGCCACAGCUACUGAACCUGCGCACCUAGAGCCCGUGCUCCGCAACAAGAAAAGCCACCACAAUGAGAAGCCCGUGCACCACAGCAAAGAGGAGCCUCUACUCGCCCCAACUAGAGAGAAAAACCCGUGUGCAGCAACAAAGACCCAACGCAGCCAAAAUUAAAAAAAAUAAUACAGUAGUAAGUCUUAAAACCAGGUAGAUGGAGUCUGCCCACUUUAUCCUUCUUCAGAAUUUCUUGAAGUAUUCUAGACCCUCUGCCUCUCCGUAUAAACUCCAGAAUCUCGUGUACAUCUACAAAAACGCUUGCUGGCAUUUACACAGGAAUUGAGUUAUGUACUAUUUAUCAAUUUGGGAAGAACCAACAUUUCUGAGCCUUGCAAUCCAUAAACAGGGUUAUGUUUCUCCAUUUAUUUACAACUUCUUUUAUUCCUCUCAUCAGCACCUUAUAAUUUUAAGCAUAUAAAUCCUAUAAAUGUUUUGUUAGACGUAUACCUAAGCAUUUCAUUUCUGAGCAACUGUAACUGUAAUUGUGUAAUUGUAGUUGUGUCAAUGUCUUCAUUACUAGUCUACAAAAAUACAGUUGAUUUUUGUACAUUUAUAUGGUAUCCUGCAAUCUCGCUAAACUCACUUAUUAAUGCUAGAAUUUUGAGGGGUACAUUUAGAUUUUGGACAACUUUGUCAUCUGCAGGGUCAGUCGUAUUUCUCCCUUUUCAAUGUGCGUGCUUUCUUUUCUUUUCUUGCCGUAUCUCACUGGCUACACCUCCAGGACUGUGAUGAGAGCGCUGAGAUGAGAUACCCCUGCCCUGCUCCUCACCUGAGGAGACGGCGCUCCGUGCAGCCCGCGCCACCGCGCACGAUGCUGGUGCUGGGAGUGUGCAGAUGCGCUCCAUCACGUCGCGGUGCUUCUCCUCCCUCUUACUUUUUGAGAAUUUGGUCAUGAGUGGAUGCAAAAUAUUACCAGGUCCUUUUCCUGCUCUGAUGUGACCAUGUGGGUUUAACAUGGUGAAUGACACAGACUGAAUUUCAAAUGUGGAACGAGCCUUUGGUCAUCAACUUCUGUGGGGAGAGGAGAUUCUAUCUGCUAAUAUUCAGUUAAGAAUAUUCAUAUAUAUGUGUUCUUUUUUGGGGGGGAGGGUACUGUCUUUGGUUUUGGUAUCAGGGUAACAUUAACUUCAUAAGAUGAACUGGGAAGUAUUCCAGCCUCUUCCAUUUUCUGGGAAAAAAAUCAUGCAGAAUCGGUUUUGAUUAACUUUUCUUUAAAUGUUGGAUAAAAUUCUC